RNAcentral lists this transfer RNA (69 nucleotides) under Sinobatis borneensis (Borneo leg skate). Its description in RNAcentral is "tRNA-Phe". It matches the Rfam family "tRNA". From Rfam's summary of the family: Transfer RNA (tRNA) molecules are approximately 80 nucleotides in length. Their secondary structure includes four short double-helical elements and three loops (D, anti-codon, and T loops). Lineage: Eukaryota; Metazoa; Chordata; Chondrichthyes; Rajiformes; Anacanthobatidae. The record is from RNAcentral.
GCUAGUGUAGCUUAAUGUAAAGCAUAGCACUGAAAAUGCUAAUAUAAAACUUAAAAACUUUCACAAGCG